Molecule: unclassified non-coding RNA, 734 nt
Filed under: Tirpitzia sinensis
Lineage: Eukaryota; Viridiplantae; Streptophyta; Magnoliopsida; Malpighiales; Linaceae
Description: partial contains small subunit ribosomal RNA, internal transcribed spacer 1, 5.8S ribosomal RNA, internal transcribed spacer 2, and large subunit ribosomal RNA
Rfam family: 5.8S ribosomal RNA (bases 315-470)
Source: RNAcentral
UUAUCAUUUAGAGGAAGGAGAAGUCGUAACAAGGUUUCCGUAGGUGAACCUGCGGAAGGAUCAUUGUCGAAACCUGCGUAGCAGAAUGACCAGCGAACUUGUUGUCAAACGUUGGUGUGGUUGCCGCAAGAUGUGCCUCUCGGCCGUCCAGAAGCAACCCCAUCCGGUGGAGAGCAGGCAGUCGAGCUAUUCUCUUCACCAACAAAAAUUAACAAUCCCCGGCGCGGAAUGUGCCAAGGAAUACUCCAAAGCGAACGAAGUCCUCGUGGCCGGUCACGGUCUGUGGGGGCUCUUCGAUCCACGAAAGUGAAAACGACUCUCGGCAACGGAUAUCUUGGCUCUCGCAUCGAUGAAGAACGUAGCGAAAUGCGAUACUUGGUGUGAAUUGCAGAAUCCCGUGAACCAUCGAGUCUUUGAACGCAAGUUGCGCCCGAUGCCAUUUGGUUGAGGGCACGUCUGCCUGGGUGUCACGCAAUGUCGCCCCCCUCCCCAUGGGGGUUGGGAGCGGAUGGUGGCCUCCCAUGGGACUGUGUGUACUCGGUCUCUGUGGUUGGUCGAAAAGUAAGACAUCGCCAGAGAGUGCCACGGCGAGCUGUGGUUGAAAUUAUAGUCAUUAGUCAGCCGUGAGCAUUCCUCUUUGAAUGAUGCAUCGAUGGACUAGAAUCGGCAUGGUUGCCGUAACAACAGCGACCCCAGGUCAGGCGGGAACACCCGCUGAGUUUAAGCAUAUCAAU